GACGAACGCUGGCGGCGUGCCUAAUACAUGCAAGUAGAACGCUGAAGGAGGAGCUUGCUUCUCUGGAUGAGUUGCGAACGGGUGAGUAACGCGUAGGUAACCUGCCUGGUAGCGGGGUAUAACUAUUGGAAACGAUAGCUAAUACCGCAUAAUAGUAGAUGUUGCAUGACAUUUGCUUAAAAGGUGCAAUUGCAUCACUACCAGAUGGACCUGCGUUGUAUUAGCUAGUUGGUGAGGUAACGGCUCACCAAGGCGACGAUACAUAGCCGACCUGAGAGGGUGAUCGGCCACACUGGGACUGAGACACGGCCCAGACUCCUACGGGAGGCAGCAGUAGGGAAUCUUCGGCAAUGGACGGAAGUCUGACCGAGCAACGCCGCGUGAGUGAAGAAGGUUUUCGGAUCGUAAAGCUCUGUUGUAAGAGAAGAACGAGUGUGAGAGUGGAAAGUUCACACUGUGACGGUAUCUUACCAGAAAGGGACGGCUAACUACGUG
RNAcentral lists this ribosomal RNA (495 nucleotides) under uncultured bacterium. Its description in RNAcentral is "partial 16S ribosomal RNA". It matches the Rfam family "Bacterial small subunit ribosomal RNA", at positions 28 to 507 of the family's 1533-position model. The record is from RNAcentral.